CAGAACAGUUCGGGCCUUCGGGGGUCUCGGGAGAAUCAGGGGCGCCCGGCGAGAGAGACGCAGCGGCUCACCGCUGCCGGCCACCGCAGCUAGCCCCCACCGGCGUUCUUCCAGCUCCGCACGCCUGCGCCUAAGCUCCACGUUGCUCCGCCGCAGCCCGCCCCAACGUCUCCCCCGGCCCCUGCCCGUAGGGCUAGGUCACGGAUCCCCGUCCGGUCUCGCCGACUCGCCGUGACACCGUCUGUCCGUCUCCUCGACUCCUACGAAUCACCGCCGAUUCUGCAAACUUCAGCGGGCAGCAGUCCAUCCCCUGCUCCUAAUCGGAAUUGUCGGGCUCACUGCCGGGGGCUGAUCUUUUGUGAGGAUGGCGCUUUUAUUGUCUCCUUCCGCUCUUCCGGUCAUUGAGCUCACCUCUUUGGUUCACAGCGACUCGGGUUGAUAGCACGAAGGUUGCUUCCCUUCCCCUUCCCGACUGCAGGCUGUGGCGGCGCUCCCCUGUCGAUGGAUAGUUGAUCUAUAGUUGAUAACACAUUGGCACCCUUUUUUAGCUGAACUAUAGUUGAUCGCCUCAACAGUUCAGAUCGUGAAAGCUAUUGCAAUAUUUACGCAUAGUGUCUUGUCAUUUCUCAUGAAUUUUAUCUUCAGUUGUUGACUUCUUCAAUUUUUAAGGGUGCAUGAAGUGUAUUUUUAAGCUGGUCUGGAUUACAGAGCUUGUCACUCUUGCCAAUUUAUUUUAAAAACUAUCUGCAGUUUUUUGUGAGGGGGCCAUCCAGCUUUAUUUCUCUGAUGACCCUGUCGAGCUGGCAUGCAAACUGUUGGGUGUUGAGAAGGUAAAGACUCUGCAGAAGGUGCUUACAUGGCAGGAGGAAAAGGUGUAAUGUCAGUGUUGAAAACUUGAAGGCAACAUAUUAUGCGAUUUUCAAGUGACCAAAUCUUGAUCUUUAUAUUGCUUUCAGUUGGAACACGGGUUCUAGAAUACUUUUGCGCACAUUUCUAUUAAACAAAUUAUGUUUAUUUUUUCUUCCCAGUGUAGCAACAGUUGUAUUUAUUUUACUGUUGUUGCAGUCCUACGGGUACCUAACAAGGAGUUGCAAUUACCUCUU
Brachypodium distachyon (stiff brome) is the source of this 1103-nucleotide long non-coding RNA. RefSeq lists it as uncharacterized. The record is from RefSeq and is a predicted model, not a curated record. Lineage: Eukaryota; Viridiplantae; Streptophyta; Magnoliopsida; Poales; Poaceae. The transcript has 3 exons.